Molecule: long non-coding RNA, 492 nt
Organism: Haliotis rubra (blacklip abalone)
Lineage: Eukaryota; Metazoa; Mollusca; Gastropoda; Lepetellida; Haliotidae
Exons: 2
Source: RefSeq, a predicted model, not a curated record
GGAGCGAGUGGUGACGAAUGUUUCCGUGAAAGUUCAUUCGGCUGGUUUCGGUUAGUCCAAGCGCAUCAGCGGGCAAGUUCAAGGCUGGUUGUCGCGACACACAGAAUAUCAAUCUGCUUGGAAGCCAACAAGUCCUGGUUUGAGCGCUAUGGAAGGAGAACAAGCUUUCUGUGCCACAUCCUGCGUUACUUCCUGCUGCUCAACUGGAAGCACAAUUUGCUCAUCACUGAAAAUGAGUUCUGUGCACUGUUCGUCGUGGUGUUUGGCUCCAAAGACGAGAGAUGGCACCAGGGACUUCGUAUAAAACCUUCCCCGCGAUGUGUCGUUUGUUUCACAGAAAAUCAAUGUCAUCAUAGUCUAGAUACAAUACCUGUUACAAGAAUAAAUACUCAUGGAAAAGAAAUAAAAUAAUUAUGUUAAAAUUAUUUAUGAAAAAUAAUAUUUAAAAAUUUAAACGUCAAACUCUGUUUAAUAAAGAUAUGUGGCCAUUCU